This 1858-nucleotide long non-coding RNA is filed under the name Canis lupus familiaris (dog). Its description in RNAcentral is "lncRNA (ENSCAFG00845017063.1)". Lineage: Eukaryota; Metazoa; Chordata; Mammalia; Carnivora; Canidae. The record is from RNAcentral.
UUCCUGCUGGGUGAGGUCACAUCGUGCAGUAACGCACAUUUCUGUUUCCAGGGGCUUAGUGAUGUGGAUAGCGCCCCUUUGGAAGUCCACCCGAAGAAAGAGCAUCCAUGAAGGCCAGCCUCCAGGCUCCUUGAUUUCUCAGGGCUCUCGUGUCCACAGAAUUAGCCAUGUUGCCGGAUUGUUUUCUUCUAGCUUGGUUCUUGGGAAGGCCUUAUUUUUUCUAGCCUGGUUCUUGGGAAAGCCAGUCAUCUGUUCAAGUCAUUUGCCUGAUUUGUAUUGCUGGGUUCAUAGAGAUUUUACUGAAUUUUUAUUUGCCAAAUCGCAAGCCACUGUUGUGUAUGCAUGUAUACGUCCCUGCGCUCCGAGCGCGAUGCCCCCGGCCACACUGCGCCCCAGCAAACACACUGGGAAACUACCGUCAGGACGAUCCGGAUUCCAGAACAGACUGAUCGUUUCUUGUUCCCGACACCUCGCCAAGUACAAAACGCGUCUGCGUCCAUCAGCACCGGAGCAGACCAUGGCACAGACCCCCAGGGAACCCGCAUCCCACCUGGUCCCGGCUUCCAGAGCUGUUUAUACUGGUCUGGGCUGGGGGGGCUGGGGGUGGACGACAGGGGAAUCUGGAGGCUCUGGGGUGGAUCCUAACAGUAAUAAUAACAAGUAUUAUUAUUACUACUUUAUUGUUAUAACAGUAAUAGGUAUAAUAAUACUUAUAUAUUAAACAUAUAUUUAUAUUAUAUAGAUAAUAUAUAAAAUAUAAUUUAUAACAUUACAUAUUAAUAUUACACUUAUGUAUUUAUAUUCUAUUUAUGUUAUAUAAGUAACAUAAUCUAUAACAUCUAUAAUAUUGCAUAAUAUAUUUGUUAUUAUAUAAAUAAUACAUUAUCAGAACAUAUACUCUAUAAUAUAUUAUACAUAAUAUAAAAGAUAUAAUAUUACUUAUUAUUAUUAUACUUAUUACUUGUUAAGAUGAAUCGCUCUAUCAAGGUAGUGCAAAGGAACAACACACACUUGGGGAUGCCCUUUUAUUGGCUGGACACCAGGCUGGGACAUGGGAAGAGAGAAAAGAAAUUCUCAGUCCUCACAUUCUAAAAACCUUAGGUAUGGUGAAAGACAAAAUGGAGAAAUACUGCUUUGGGACCUAUUUAUAUGCCGUCCCCUUUCUGUUCCUCUGUGCCAAUACACUAGCUAAAGAAGUGACUCCCCAAAUCUUUGGGUUCUUGGGUAGAGGGAUGCAUUUCGAUGAAAUGUGAAGAUGGUCAAAAGGAAGGAAAAUGAUGUACUACUAUAUUGGGCAGUUCAAAGUCUGCAUGAUGUACGCCAGCAUGUGUGACAGGGAAUUUUAUAGGUCACCUUGGCUAGGCCGUGGUGCGGUGCCCAGUUGUUUAAUCAAACACCAGUCUAGAUGCUGUGAAGGUGUUUAGUAGAUGUGAUGAAGGUGUAAAUCAUAGACUUUGAGUGAAGCAUAUUAUCCUCUGUAAUGUGGCUGGGCCUCAUCCAAGCAUCUGAAGGUUUGAGAGCAAAGACUGGGGUUUCCUGAUGAAGAAGGAAUUCUCUUCAAAGAUGGUAAAUAGAAGAUCUGCCUAGGUCUCCAGCUUGCUGCCUCACUGAAGUUGAACUCUUACCUGAAUGUUGUCUGUCAGCCUGCCCGACAGACUUUAAAUUUGCCAGCUCCCACAAGUGUGAGCCAAUUCCUUAAAAUCUCACUCUCAGACUCCUAACUCUGGGAAACGAACUAGGGGGUGGUGGAAGGGGAGGUGGGCGGGGGGUGGGGGUGACUGGGUGACGGGCACUUGAUGGGAUGAGCACUGGGUGUUAUUCUAUAUGUUGGCAAAUUGAACACCAAUAAAAAAUAAAU